AGAAGAUUGUUUUCUCACAUCUUUGGCUUUCAGUGAUGUUUGUGAGCUUCUUGGGAGUCAAUCCAAAAUUCUCUUGAGAGCCUGCUGUGUGCACAGCCCUGUCCUAGAUCAUGGAAUGAGAAGGAAUCGUAGAGGUCAUUUUCUCCUGCCUUCCACCCAAUAAAGAAUCCUCUUUGCAAAUCCCUGAACAUGGAGCCUUGGGAUGAAGACUCAAGGGACAGGAAGUUCAUUAGCCUCACGAGCAGGUGGCAACCACUUAAAGAGGAGCUGUGGCGUUCCUACCGCCCUGCUCUCACUUUCUCCAGCAACACAUCCUCUGCUCCUGUAUCUGCUUCUCACGGCCCAGGGUUUCUAGGGCCUCCUCGGCCCCAGUCGUGCCCUCUUGCCAUCCUAUUGCCUGAUGCAAGUGAGGACUCCGGAGUCGAGCCCGGCCUGCCAGGUGCCAUCAGGGUGGAGUAUACGUAUGCCUUCCUGGAUCUGUACAACAUACAUUCGUUAAUGCAACCUCAAAUUGCAUUCGAAUUGCAAGACCACGUGGCUCUGAGCUUCAGGGAAAUCGAAGCUGCUUGUUAAGGCGGGUUCCACUCAAUCUUACUUGUUGCUGCUAACUGGUGGGAGAAUGCUUCUUAGGAUUUUGGAGGAUCGUGGACCUCACGGAGAACGUGAUCAAAGCUUUAGGCCUGGGAUC
This is a long non-coding RNA of Canis lupus familiaris (dog), 688 nucleotides long. RefSeq lists it as uncharacterized. The record is from RefSeq and is a predicted model, not a curated record. The transcript has 3 exons. Lineage: Eukaryota; Metazoa; Chordata; Mammalia; Carnivora; Canidae.